Molecule: ribosomal RNA, 447 nt
Filed under: uncultured bacterium
Lineage: Bacteria
Description: partial 16S ribosomal RNA
Rfam family: Bacterial small subunit ribosomal RNA
Source: RNAcentral
AACGAACGCUGGCGGCAGGCUUAACACAUGCAAGUCGAACGCAUCGCAAGAUGAGUGGCAGACGGGUGAGGAACACGUGGGAACAUCCCUUUCAGUUCGGAAUAACUCAGGGAAACUUGAGCUAAUACCGGAUCCGUCCGUGAGGAGAAAGAUUUAUCGCUGAAAGAUUGGCCCGCGUCUGAUUAGCUAGUUGGUGAGGUAAUGGCUCACCAAGGCUACGAUCAGUAGCUGAUCUGAGAGGAUGAUCAGCCACAUUGGGACUGAGACACGGCCCAAACUCCUACGGGAGGCAGCAGUGGGGAAUAUUGGACAAUGGGCGCAAGCCUGAUCCAGCCAUGCCGCGUGAGUGAUGAAGGCCUUCGGGUUGUAAAGCUCUUUUGUCCGGGAAGAUAAUGACUGUACCGGAAGAAUAAGCCCCGGCAAACUUCGUGCCAGCCGCCGCAGUAA